RNAcentral lists this ribosomal RNA (498 nucleotides) under uncultured bacterium. RNAcentral's name for it is "partial 16S ribosomal RNA". It matches the Rfam family "Bacterial small subunit ribosomal RNA", at positions 31 to 523 of the family's 1533-position model. The record is from RNAcentral.
AUGGAACGCUGGCGGCAUGACUGACACAUGCAAGUCGAACGGUAACAGGUCUUCGGAUGCUGACGAGUGGCGAACGGGUGAGUAAUACAUCGGAACGUGCCCGAUCGUGGGGGAUAACGAAGCGAAAGCUUUGAUAAUACCGCAUAAGAUCUACGGAUGAAAGCAGGGGACCGCAAGGCCUUGCGCGAACGGAGCGGCCGAUGGCAGAUUAGGUAGUUGGUGGGAUAAAAGCUUACCAAGCCGGCGAUCUGUAGCUGGUCUGAGAGGACGAACAGCCACACUGGGACUGAGACACGGCCCAGACUCCUACGGGAGGCAGCAGUAGGGAAUUUUGGGCAAUGGGCGAAAGCCUGAUCCAGCCAGGCCGCGUGCAGGAUGAAGGCCUUCGGGUUGUAAACUGCUUUUGUACGGAACGAAAAGACUCUGGUUAAUACCUGGGGUCCAUGACGGUACCGUAAGAAUAAGCACCGGCUAACUACGUGCCAGCCGCCGCGGUAA